AUGGCGCGCGUGGAGAAGGUCGCCGGCGGCGAAGGGCAGGUGGAGGUGGUGGUCGGGGUGGACGGCAAGGGGGCGAUAGAGUGCCGGAUAUGCCAGGAGGAGGGGGAUGAGGCCGCCAUGGACUCCCCCUGCGCCUGCACUGGCACGCUCAAGUUCGCGCACAGGAAGUGCAUACAGAGGUGGUGCGACAAGAAGGGGAACAUCACAUGUGAAAUCUGCAACCAGGUUUACUCUCCGAACUAUAUUCUCCCUCCAACAAAGUGCUGUUCAGAUGAAAUGGGCAUGGAUCUUAGGCAAAGCUGGGUUGGGCGAAUCGAUCCCCAUGAUUCCCAUUUCCUGGCGAUCGCUAUUGCCGAGCAGCAGCUGCUGAACGCUGAAUUCGAUGACUGCAUGACCUCAAAUUCGAGCGGCGCCACAUGCUGCCGGUCUAUUGCCCUAAUUUUGAUGGUGCUUCUGCUCGUGCGCCAUGUAACCGUGAUCGUGCGAGAUGUUAGCAUGCUACAAGAUGCGACGGUUCUGUUCAGCGCAAUUCUUCAGUUCGUGGGAUUCUUUCUUCCGUGUUACGUCAUAGCGCGCUUCUGCUAUGCUUUUCAACACCGGAGGCGAAGACAGGUUUAG
Molecule: ribosomal RNA, 618 nt
Filed under: Triticum aestivum (bread wheat)
Lineage: Eukaryota; Viridiplantae; Streptophyta; Magnoliopsida; Poales; Poaceae
Description: partial small subunit ribosomal RNA
Source: RNAcentral